This 253-nucleotide ribosomal RNA is filed under the name uncultured bacterium. RNAcentral's name for it is "partial 16S ribosomal RNA". It matches the Rfam family "Bacterial small subunit ribosomal RNA", at positions 524 to 776 of the family's 1533-position model. The record is from RNAcentral.
UACGUAGGUGGCGAGCGUUGUCCGGAUUUACUGGGCGUAAAGGGCGUGCAGGCGGUCUGUUAAGUCUAGGGUGAAAGCUCCCGGCUCAACUGGGAGAGGUCCUUGGAUACUGGCGGACUUGAGGGAGGCAGAGGAGAGUGGAAUUCCCGGUGUAGUGGUGAUAUGCGUAGAUAUCGGGAGGAACACCAGUGGCGAAGGCGGCUCUCUGGGCCUUACCUGACGCUGAGGCGCGAAAGCGUGGGGAGCGAACCGG